Molecule: long non-coding RNA, 12105 nt
Filed under: Trifolium pratense (red clover)
Lineage: Eukaryota; Viridiplantae; Streptophyta; Magnoliopsida; Fabales; Fabaceae
Description: long non-coding RNA (TPRA_LNC002872)
Source: RNAcentral
AGAAAGAUGAAGUGAUGUUAAUUUGGAAAGGUGUGAGAUUUGAGGAGGAACUUCACCUUGAAAGUUACAUGAAGACAAGUCAAGAUGUGUGAGAUUCCGAAACCCACCAAACUUCGAAUGAAAAUGAGUGCCAAAGAAAUCAUUGUAAGAAAGGCUGAGUGAUUGUAGGUGAGAAAGAUGAAAAAGAGUACUAUUAGGAGAAAUAUUACCUUGAAGACUUUCACAGCCAAGGUUGAGACCAAUCACAUGACCAGAGACAGUAUCACAGGUGACACCAUGCCAUGAACAACAAUUUGUCCCAUUUUUCCAUGUUGCAGUUUUCUGAGGUUGUUCCUGACAAGCAUAGUUUGUAUAUGUAGUCAAAGAGGACUUAAAUUGAAUCAAAUCAUUGCUAUCUUGAGGAUUACAUAAAAAAUUAGAAGAAGAAGUUGAGAAGGAUGGAAAAAUGAAGAGCAAAAUAUGGACAUACAGAAUAAACAACCUCAUGGUGGUGAAGUUAUUUUGAUUGAUGAAUUCAAAUUUUGUGAGAAGUGUUUUAUACUAAUUUUCUUUGACUUUUGGAAGUUCUUCAAAGAUUGAACUUGUCUCAAAAUUUCUUUAAUUUCAUAUCUCUAGUGUUUGCUUUUAUUUGACCGGAUCACGUAGCUUAUAUUUUUGAAAAUAGUAUAAUAAUACUCUUUCAAACAUGUAUGCUAUUGUUAGUAGCUGUCAGAUUCAAUGCCAACAAAUCUAUAAAAGCAGUCAACAAAAGCGGCUCACCACAGAAUUCAACUGGCCUUAUCUAUAUAUCAAUCCAAAUUUCUUCAUAAUUAAUAUUUUCUAAAGCUAAAAUGUAAACUUAACUACAUUAAUGCUAAAUGUAAAACUAAACUCUUAAUAGCCUCCUUCAAGCUUAAGCAUGAUAUAUGUUAAAAUAAAGAACAUGUGGUUUGAUGCAAUGUGUAUAGCGCUGUGAUUGUCAAAAUAAAGAACAUGUGGUUUGAUAUGUUCAACCUUUAAGUACUGAAGUAGUUAAAGGAGCCGAUCACAAGUAGCUGAAGACAAUGCUCGAUACUCUGCCUCAUACGAGGACCUUGAUACAGUAGCUUGUUUCAUUGGAUGCUGCAAUAUCAAUGAGGUACCUCUAAAGAAGCAAUGACCAGAUAUUGAUCUUCUACUGUCCAAAGCAACCUGUCCAGUCAUGUAAUGGCCCAAUCUCAGGCCAUGACCGGGCCACAGGCUAACACUAACUCAUCAUAUAGUUAGUCUCGCAAGCCUAAGACACUGUAACACAUAUACUUAUUAUAUACAUACUUAUUGAAAUUUAACAGUGUCUCAUCUAUUUUCAUAACAUAGUUAAUUGAGUCAUUCCAAAGUAAAUUUCGAUUUUUAAUCCCGUCCUUUUUCUAACGGAUUCAGGUUUCAUUCCAAAUCAAUGUAUGUACAGGAAGUUACGGACAUUUUACUCACUGGGUCUACACGAGUUUAAGGGUUCAAAUCUCCCAUUUUCUCAAUUUCUUACUAAAUCCAUGAUUUCCAUGAAUUUAACCUAACUUCCAUUAACCUUAACAAAAUUAUAAGUAAACACAAGCAGGAUUGUAUUAAUAUUCUAACUCUAUCCCUAAUUUCUAUGUUCAUCAAAUAUCUCAAAUUGUCCUUAAUUCUAACCUAAUUUCAUGGAUUCUCUAUGAAAUUCAUCAUAAUCAUACGUUGCAUAUACAAUCAGCCCUUCAUUGCUACCCAUAAGGUUCAUUCCCAAUUCAUAACACUAACCCAAAAUUAAAACUUAAUAAGAAUUCGCCUUUGAUUCUUUGAAAAUAGAUUCUGGCUUAUGAGGGUUUGUAGAGAGAAAGAGUGAAGAAAAAUUGUUUUUUUUUCAACUCAUGAAUUUUUCUUAAAUACUUUCCAAAUUAAUUUACCAUCUUGCCCUUGUUACUACUAACAAAAUUCCAAUGCUAUCCUUACUUACUCUAAUCAUUUCUAUCACGUUUUCAUGUCUCAUAUCUCAACUUAAUUUAUUCUCAAUCCUCUAAUUAGUUCUUAAUACACUUGCAAAUGAGUACUAAUUAGUAUCUUAAUAACUGCAAAUAUGCCUUGUCCUGGACUAUUUUCAAGUACUUUAUGACUCUACAAGGAACAUUGAAGUGUGUUACGGUGGGUGCAUGAAUGAACCGGCUCAAUUGUUUUGUUGUUCUUAUAAUUGAGUAUUAGGCCUAACUCAUCCUUACAAAACCGGCUUGUAAGGUGAGAUUGUCCUCACUUAUAAGCACAUAUCGAGGUCAUCUCGCAAUCGACCUGGGACUUCUUAACAGUUGUAAAGGUAAUGUCAGGUCUAGUUGUGUUCAAAUACACUGAUUUUCUCACCAUUCUGCAUAAGGCUUUCCUGAAUCACUAUGAAGCUUGAUGAAAGUGUCAAGUGGAGUACUUGCAGUCUUUGGUCCUGAAUCUUAAAGAAGAUCAAGGGAAUACUUCUCUGAGAGAUAGCUAUUCCUGAUUUUGAAUGUGUAACUUCCAAUCCAAGAAAGUGCUUCAACUGUCCCAAAUUUUUUAUUUUAAAAGCUGCAUCAAGUAUAUCUUUGAUUAUGUCGCAUAACCAUUUUAUCUCAAGGAAAUUUCAAACUUUCUGCUCAAUGAUUCUCAUUCAAGGGAAAGAUCCUAUCCCAAAGUUGUUUAUGAUAAUCUACAUAUAUUUAGUGCUUUCAAUAGCAUUAAUCUUCGGUUAAAAUGCAAAUCCUAAUGUGAUGUGAUGAAAGCCUUCACUGUGCUCAAUUGAAUGAAUGAAAUUUGCAUGAGUUUGUGAUCAGAAUGAUUCUCCUUGGUCAUAGAUCGCAAACUCAGUGUGAUCUAAUAACAGUUUGAGACGUUGAGCUUAUUAGAGCUCCAUAGAAGAGUUGAAAGAGUAACUGUUUCAUUAAGAAAAUAAGUGAAAUAUUCAAGAUAUUAAAAUGAUAAGUAGAAAAUGGGGUGAAACUGGCAUUGUUUCAUUAAGAAUCUAGAACAACUUUCCGAGACAAGACAAAGGAGUAAAAAACAAGCAAAGCAUGUAAUCAUUUGUAACAAAAACAAAUGGCUUCUUAGCCGCACAAGAAUAUUCAUCAAGUUUGGCGUGGAAAGACCCAAAAACCUUUCAUUGAGUCAAUAUCCUGAGAGCCGAUACCCUAAUCAAACAGUUGUAGAUUGCAAUAUGCAAAGAUAAGUGUAUGGUACAACAAAUGAAUGGUUAACCUAAAAUGCUUCUUUUUGGCUUCUUACAAGAUUUACUUGCUCACACAGUUGCAACACAAAAUCAAGCAUACAAGAUAUAUAUAGCAACAAACAAAGAGGAAACAACAUGCACUUUUAUUUAUUAAUAACACUGCCUAAAUAAAGCAUAGUACAUUCACAAUACAUUCAUGCAAGCAAACUCAAUAAAACUAACACGGAAGAGAAAGUAAUCACAACAAUAAAACCACCACAUUUGCACCAUCGAUCUAAUUCCUGGUUGAAACAUUAGUUCUCAACACUCUUGUCCUCCUUGCCACUCUUUGCUUGGGCUAACCUCUAGCCAUCAUCACAAGCCAUCUAGGCUUUCCGAUUAGAUCCUGGUUGAACCAUUAGUUCUCUUCACUCCCUAAGGUGUUGGCUGAAGGUGGAGAAUGUUGCUUAGGUCCGCAUUUCUUUGACAAGGGAAAUCCACAUAACCCCGAGUUUCCUACAUAGGAGUCAUUUGAAAAUGUAUUGAACUGCUUACCUUGAGGUAUUUCUCCCAUUAGAUGGUUAUGGGAAAGGUUCAACACUUCAAGACCAUUCAGAUUGGUUAAUUCUGCAGGAAUCACACCAGUUAAUAUAUUUGAGGAAAGAUCCAAUGAUUCCAAGCUUGACAAGUUUCCUAUGGAUUGGGGAAUAGAACCGGUGAGUCUGUUAUGGGAAAGGUUAAGCCCAUGGAGUGCCUGAAGCUCUCCAAUAACAUUUGGAAUAGUGCCAUAAAAUUUGUUCUCUUGUAGAUCCAAAACUUGAAGGGAUGAUACAUUAGCAAGACAUUGUGGAAUGUUACCUGUCAAUUUGUUGUGUGCCAAGUUGAGCAAUAUAAGCGAACUUUUAUUGCAAAUUGACAAAGAGAUGCCACCAGCUAGUAAGUUAAAACUAAGAUCAAGGCCCUGUAGGUUUUGCCACUGAUUCCUUGUGAAUUGGUCCAUUGAUUCGAACAUGUUAUGAGAGAGGCCCAAAGAUUGUAAUGAAUCUAUGUUGAGCAACCAAUUAGGCAAUCUUCCAAAAAGUUUAUUGUCGGACAAAUCAAGAUAUCUCAAACCAGGGAAUUUUCCUGAUGAUAAUUUUGAAUAUCCGAUCAAACCGACAGAAGACAGUUCCAAUGUUGAUAGGAUAGAAAAGUUGUAAUUGACAGUAGAUUCAAAGUUUAGUGAUAAUUGACUAUUACGUGAAAGAGACAAAGUAUCCAAUUUUUGAAGUUUGGAGAAGUGCUGAAAAUUGACAACACCACUCAAGUUGUUUGAUGAAAGACAUAGUGUAGCUAGGUUUGCAAAGUUGAAAAUAGAUUCUGGAAUAUCUCCUUGUAGUUUGUUGCUGCAUAGUUUAAGAUAAUACAAAGAAUAUGAUGAAAUGACACUUAUAUUUCCUGUAAAUUGAUUAUUUGAUAGAUCCAACAUUCCUAAAGAUGGUAAAGAUAAACACCACGAAGGAAUUUUUCCACUUAGUAAGUUGUUAUUCAAAAAUAAAUAACCUAAGUUUUGGAACCCUGAUAUUUCCUCAGGUAGAGGACCCUUUAAUUUAUUAUUAGAAAAGUCUAAGUAAUCAAGUUGAGAUAACCUAAACAAUGAAGGUGGAAUUUGCCCUUCUAAUCUAUUAUAACCCAGACGGAGUUCUUGUAAUUUGGUUAGUCCGUCAAACACAUCUGGAAUUUGACCACUAAAUGAAUUGGAAGACAGGUCUAAAUUGAUAAGAUGUUGAAGGUUUGAAAGUGAUUUUGGCAACUGGCCAUCAAUUUUGUUACUACUCAAAUCUAACUUUUGAAAUCUAUUUGAUUUGGGAAAUACAUCCGGGAUUUGACCACUUAUGAACAAAUUAUCUUUGAGAGACAAAGAAGUUAGAUUUUGUAGGGUUAAAAGUGAGGAUGGGAUUGAACCAUUAAGUCUGUUAUCAAUGAGACUUAAGGAUGUAAGAUAUGUGAGGUUAGAGAAAGAAAGAGGAAUUGGCCCUGUGAAUGAACAAUAUGAAAGAUCCAAGAUUCUAAGAAAAGUGCUACAACUUAAAUUUGGAAGUUGGCCUUCAAGGUAGUCAUUUUUUGAUAAAUCUAACUCUUGAAGACUCGGUAAACAAAGAAUGUUGUUUUUCCAAUUUCCACUUAUUCCUGAUCUUUGAAGAUUAAGAUUAGUCAAAGAGGAAGAUUGAUUGAAUAUCAAAUUCAACGAGUUUGGAUGGAUUGAAGACAUAUUUGUUUCAUCCAAAAUUAACUCUUCCAAAAUUGUUGCAUUUUGCACAAGGCUUUUCAAAGUGGUUUCUUUCCAACUUAACUGACCAUUUCUAGAAAGAUGAAGUGAUAUUAAUUUGGAAAGGUGUGAGAUUUGAGGAGGAACUUCACCUUGAAAGUUACAUGAAGACAAGUCAAGAUGUGUAAGAUUCUGAAAUCCACCAAACUUAGAAUGAAAAUGAGUGCCAAAGAAAUCAUUGUAAGAAAGGUUGAGUGAUUGUAGGUGAGAAAGCUGAAAAAGGGUACUAUUAGAAUAAAUAUUACCUUGAAGACUUUCACAUCCAAGGUCGAGACCAAUCACAUUAGCAGAGACAGUAUCACAGGUGACACCAUGCCAUGAACAACAAUUUGUCCCAUUUUUCCAUGUUGAUGUUUUUUGAGGUUGUUCCUGACAAGCAUAGUUUGUAUAUGUAGUGAAUGAGGACUUGAAUUGAAGCAAGGCAUAGCUAUCUUCAGGAUGACAUAAGAAAUUAGAAGAAGAUAAAGAAAAUGAUGGAAAAUUGAAGAGCAAAAUAUGCAAAUACAGAAGAAACAACCUCAUGGUGGUGAAGUUAUUUUAAUUGAAUUCAAAUAUUUUGUGAGAAGGGUUAAAAGUUUAUUGCAUGAAAUAAUAGGAAGACAGCAUUAAUAUAUAUAUAUAUAUAUGUCACGACCCAAUCUCGGAUCAUGACCGGCGCACAAGCUAACACUACCUCAUCAUAUCGUAAGCCCGUGCAAGCCUAAUACACUAGCUAUAAUCUAUACACUAUAACAAAUAUACUUAUUAAAAUAUAUAGUUACUGAAAUUAUAGCUCGACAGGGAGGAUCCCUGGUCCUACGUAUCCCUUAACAAUUAGGGAAUCAGAGCCACGUAGUUCUCUAAGUGUUGAUUAACUAUCAACAAAGUAUAUAUAAAAAAACUAUCUCAUUUCAUUCUAUACACAUAGACCACAUUAUCUCUUCGUUGUGGUGAACGGAUACCUAUACCACAUUAUCUCUUCGUUGUGGCGAACGAAUACCACAUUAUCUCUUCGUUGUGGCGAACGGAUACCACAUUAUCUCUUUGUGGUGGCAAACGGAUACCUAUACCACAUUAUCUCUUCGUUGUGGCGAACGGCUAUACCACAUUAUCUCUUCAUUGUGGCGAACGGUUAUACCACAUUAUCUCUUCGUUGUGGCGAACGGAUACCUAUACCACAUUAUCUCUUCGUUGUGGCGAACGGCUAUACCACAUUAUCUCUUCGUUGUGGCGAACGAAUACCACCUUAUCUCUUCGUGGUGGCGAACGAAUAUCUACUUAAAAUAUACUAUGAACAAUUGUUCAUAGGCUGCAAACGGCUAAUUUUAUAUUCACAAAAAUGUGUCAAAAUAUACUUUAAAACAAAUUGCAUAACUUAAAUCAAUUCGCGGUAUCGUAACAACUUCUAUAAAGCCACAAUUUAUUUAUUUUUACUACUUUGCACCACCAAAAUCAAAUCUUUAAAGUAAAUAAAAUAAUGAAAUGAGUUUCACUUUUUAAGAAAAUUUGUUUCUCUCAUAAAAAUAAUAACAUAGAAAACUUUGCCGCAAGAUAAAUUNNNNNNNNNNNNNNACUCACAAAAAUAUGUAAUUAUUCUCGAACCACAUGUUCAUUCUUAUCUUUUCUUUAGUUAUAAAUUAAAAGGAAGCCAUGCUCAUUGGGAAAAAGUAUCUAUAAAUAUUCUUCUAAUUCUCUAUUCAUUUUAAAAUGCGGAAUUUUACCUCCUCUAUUUUAUAAUUUGUUGGAUUUUUCCCACCACCAAAUUUCUGCACAAAAUCUGCUUCUGAGCCUCAAGUUCAAAGUUUUGCACAUAACUCAAUUUGGAUCAAUAAUUCACCAAACUGGUACCGAAAUAACUGUAAUCAAUUUAGUUACAGAGAGAGAUUAAUUACACUAAAUUUGGAGUUACAGAGAGAGAUUAAUUACCGUUUUAGUGAAUGUCUGUUCAAAUGAAUUAUCGUAUGAAACUACUACUGGUUUUUUCGUCAUGCUUCUCACCCUGUAGUUCAUUUUUUAAUACUAUUUACAUGUAUGGAAAGAUAAAGAAAUUACCCUUGUUGGCGUUUCAAUUUCGUCGAAUUUGGAGUUACGAUGCGUUCGGUAGACGAUGUUGAAUUUGAAGAUCACAAGUAGAUUUCUGCAGAAUUAGUAAUUGGACAGACCUUCACUAAAACGGUAAUUAAUAUCUCUCUGUAACUCCAAAUUUAUUGGGGUUUGAUUCUGUGGAAAUCUAACUCGAUUACGGUCGUUUCGGUAUCAGUUUUGUGAAUUAUUUAUCCAAAUUGAGUUUUGUGCGAAGCUUUGAACUUGAGGCUCAGAAGCAGAUUUUGUGCAGAAUUUUGGUGGGGGGCAAAAUCCAACAAAUUAUAAAAUAGGGGGGGUAAAAUUCCGCAUUUUAAAAUAUGAGGGUAAAAUUCCGUAUUUUUCAAAACAUGAGGGUAAAACUGCAUUUCCAUACAUGUAAAUAGUAUUAAAAAAUGCCAACAAAUCUAUGAAAGCGGUUCACCACAUAAUUCAUCCGACCUUAUCUAUAUAUCAAUCCCAAGCAACAUACAUGUCCAGUCAAGUCAACAUCAAAGUAUCCUGCUGCUGAUGCACUGUCAAGAAUGUAAAUGAGAUAAGAUAUUAAAUAUCAUCAUAUAGAUAUCUAUCUAUGAAGAUAAAAAUUGGUGAUUAGAAUUCACAAACAAGUUUUUAUAGAUAUAUAAUGAGAUUUUCUUUUGUCACUGUAUCAAUUUCCCGCGCACCCUACAAGUUUCCGUUUUUACCAUUCCACUACUUAAGUAUUAGAUGUUAUAAAAACGAGAAAUUUGAGGAAAAAACACCCUACAUAAAAUUCAAGAUUUUAAACGUCAGCUACUAAAGUAGCCGAUAGAAUCCGCUACUUAAGUAGUGGAUUUUGUAGGGCAUGGGUAAGGUAGCAUUUGAUAUUUUGUUUCAUCUGAUUUUUAUUACUUGAGUGAUUUUGUUGCUUAUUUUCUGUGACUUAGUAUUUAUCAUUAAUUACAAAUGAUUAAUAUUCACAAUGCCUAACACCUGAUAUGCAAUUGUUGUGGCAGCAUAUCAAUCAUCAAAAAGGGAAUCAGGGCUUUGCUCUCAGUUCUAAUCAAAUAGUUAUUGGCAAGGUCUUUCUGAGCAUUUCUUGAUUACACAUUUAAUGUCACAUAAGCAAUUUAUUGGUUAGCUAACAACAAAGGUGGUUCGGUAUCUUCAUAUUCAUAUAGCAUCAAGAGUUUCUAUGAUAUGUCAUGUAAAUUGAUUCAAUGUAAAUUGACAUGUCAUGUAAAUUGCUCUAUUUUACAACUUACCAACUAUCAUUCUUAUUCAAUCUCACCUAUUUCUCAACUUACGAAUGAUCAUUCUGUUUGCGACUGAUUUUUAUUUAAAACAUUCAUGCAAUAAUGUUUGCUGUGACAGAUGACAUUUUUGUUAUAUCUUCCUGUAACUAAGGCGCGACAAUGCUUCUAUGUACUGAACAUAUAAAUGAUGAUGCAUGUGUGUGAGGUAAAAACAAAAUGGUAAAAACAAAAUUUUGAUGUCAAUGCAAAACUAGUGUACACCAUGGAUAGAACUAUUAUGUAUCAUUGGCUUCAUACAACUCGUGUUGUAGCACAAUACAGUCACUGUACAAACAUACAACAACCUGAAUUAAAACUAGCUAGAUCAAAUAAGAGUGACAACAUCGUCACACUCAAAUCAAGCUAAUUUUGAACAGUAGGUAAAAACUAACAUAGUAGCGAAAAUAAUGACAACAAUAAAACUACGACAUUGGCACCAUUUGAUUGAUCGUUGAACCAUUAGUCCUCCUCACUCUAGUCCUCCUCCUGUUCAUUCUUCUCGUAGGCUGACCACCAAAUAUCAUCACAAGCCAUCUUGGCUUUCCAAUUAAAAACACAAAAUAUCCAAUUCCUAUUCCAAUCACAAAUCUACAUCCAUAUCCAAUUGCCACUGGUAUCCAUCCAAAUCCAAAUUUCUCUUCACUCCAAAAGUUGUUGGCUGAAGGUGGAGAAUGUUGUUCCAGUCCACAUUUCUCGGUCAAGGGAAAUCCACAUAAUCCUAUGUUUCCUUCAUAGGAAUCAUUUGAAAAUGUAUUGAACUGCUUACCUCGAGGAAUUUCUCCCAUUAGAUGGUUAUGGGAAAGAUUCAAGACUUCAAGAUUGUUAAGAUUGGUUAACUCUGCAGGAACCACACCAGUGAGUAUAUUUGAGGAAAGAUCCAAUGAUUCCAUGUUUAACAAGUUUCCUAUGGAUUGGGGAAUAGGACCUGUGAGCCUGUUAUGGGAAAGGUUAAGCCCUUUGAGUGCGUGAAGCUCUCCAAUAACAUUUAGAAUCUCUCCUUGAAACAUGUUUUGAGAUAAAUCAAUAUUCGCAAAGGCUAUUGGAAUUUUCACCAUCACAAUGUUGUUUCCUUUCACUGUAAUAGUCACAGAAUCAUAGUAUGUCAUGUCACCUACUUCCAUCCUUUGCAUGUAUUGCGAGCUACUAACCUCUACAACUUGAAUAACAUUUUUCAUGGCAUCAAAACUUUGUAUGUAAUCUUUUGGUAGCGGGCCACUGAAGUUAUUGCAUGAAAUAUCAAAAAUAAUUAAACUAGGAAAUGGAUUCUUGAUAUUUAUAUUAGCAACUGGACCAUACAACCUAUUCUCUCGCAAAACCAAUACUUCCAAAUUUUGCAUAGUUUGAAGCCAUUAUGGAAAAUGGCCUUCUAGUUUGUUGCCACCAAGAUUUAAUGCCUCCAAGUAUUCGCAGUUUGACAAAGAUUUAGGCAAAACGCCUUCUAAUAGGUUUCCAUUGAGAUUCUGUGUACGAAGGUCACAAUUCUUUGAAAAGUUACUUGGUAAAGUGCCAUAGAAUUUGUUCAUUUGUAGAUCCAAGACUUGAAGGGAUGAUAAUUUGGCAAGACAUUGCGGAAUGAUUCCUUUCAAAUUGUUGUGUGCCAAGUUGAGCAAUUCAAGUGAACUUUUAUUGCAAAUUGACAAAGAGAUGUCACCAGCUAGCAAGUUAAAACUAAGAUCAAGGUCGAUUAGGUUGUGCCAAUGAUUCCUUGUGAAUUGGUCCAUUGAUGUGAACAAGUUCUGAGAGAGGCCCAAAUAUUCUAAUGAAUCUAUUUCUAGCAACCAAUUGGGCACUCUUCCAAAAAUUUUGUUGUCGGACAAAUCAAGAUAUGUCAAACUAGGGAAUUUUCCUGAGGAUAAUUUUGAAAAUCCAAUAAAACCAGCAGAAGACAAUUCCAAUGUUGAUAGGAUAGAGAAAUUGUAAUUAACAUUGGAUUCAAAGUUUAGUGAUAAUUGACUAUUAUAUGAAAGAGACAAAGAAUCCAAUUUUUGAAGUUUGGAAAAGUCUUGAAAAUUGACAACACCACUCAAGUUGUUUGAUGAUAGACAUAGUAUAGUUAGGUUUGCAAGGUUGAAAAUAGAUUCCGGAAUUUCACCUUGUAGCUUGUUGCUGCAUAGGUUUAGAUUCUGCAAAGAAUAUGAUGAGAUUGCACUUAUAUUUCCUGUAAAUUGAUUAGUUGAUACAUCCAACACACUCAAAGAUGGUAAAGAUAAACACCAUGAAGGAAUUUUUCCACUUAGUAAGUUGUUAUUUAAUGCUAAAAAACCUAAUUUUUGGAACCCUGUUAUUUUGUUUGGUAGAAGAUCCUUCAAUUUAUUAUGAGAACAAUCUAAGUAAUCAAGUUGAAACAAGCUAAACAAUGAAGGUGGGAUUUGUCCUUCUAAUCUAUUAUAAUAUAGAUCGAGUUCUUGUAAUUUGGUUAAUCCGUCGAACACAUUUGGAAUUUGACCUCUAAAUGAAUUCAAUGAAAGGUCCAACUUAAUAAGAUGUUGAAGGUUUGAAAGUGAUGUUGGCAACUCACCUCCAAUUUUGUUACUGCUCAAAUCUAAUUCUUGAAAUCUGUUUGAUUCCGGAAAUACAUUUGGGAUUUGACCACCUGUGAACAUAUUAUCAUUGAGUGACAAAAACGUUAGACGCGAAAGGGUUAAAAGUGAUGAUGGGAUUGAACCAUUAAGGUUAUUCUCCAUGAGACUUAAGGAAGUAAGAUAUGUUAGGUUAGAUAUAGAAAGAGGAAUUGGCCCUUCAAAUAAACAAUAUGAAAGAUCCAAGAUUCUAAGAAAAGUGUUACGACUCAGAUUUGGAAGUUGGCCUUCAAGGUAGUCAUUUUGUGACAUAUAUAGCUGUUGAAUACUUGGCAAAUAAAGAAUGUUAUUUUUCCAAUUUCCACUUAAUGCUGUUCCUUUAAGACUAAGACUAAUCAAAGAGGAAGAUUGAUUAAAGAUCAAAUUCAACAAGUUUGGAUUGAUUGAAGACAUAUUUGUUUCAUCCAAAAAUAACUCUUCUAAAAUUGUUGCAUUUUGCACAAGGCUUUUCAAAGUGGUUUCUUUCCAACUUAACUCAAUAUUUUGAGAAAGAUGAAGUGAUGUUAAUUUGGAAAGGUGUGAUAUUUGAGGUGGAACUUCACCUUGAAAGUUACUUAAAGACAAGUCAAGAUUUGUGAGACUCUUAAAUCCACCAAACUGACAAUGCAACUUUGAAUUGAUGAAAUUAUUGUUUGAUAGGUUGAGUGAUUUAAGGUGAGCAAGAAGAAAAAGAGUACUAUUAGGAUAAAUUUUACCAUAAAGACUUUCACAGCCAAGGUUGAGACCAAUCACAUGACCAGAGACAGU